AAGUCCCAGUCAGAGCUCAAGGCCUGUGAGGCAGGACUUCAUUCCUUGAUGAAUGCGGCUCAACUGCUAACAGGAUAAAAAGACACGGACCAGGGUUGGACGCUUUUUAGAAUUUCCUCUCGUGAGGCACAACGACGUGUCCGCGAAUGAUAGGUCCGCGACGCCGUCCUCCCCCUGCAUCCAGAACGCUAGUGUCACGGGUGGAGGGGAGCGAGGCUGCCAUCUCCGAAGACAACACGCCUCUGAGUGUGCGCCUCCUAGUUUGUGCGGCAAUGUUCCCCGUGUUCAAUGAGAAAAUUCAAUGCCCCAGCGCCCAGCUAGUACUGACGCAAGAGCUCUCCCAAAAGUCGUUCGGAAAGUCGUUAAAAAAUCGCUGCGCCGACCGGCUCCACAAGCUGAAGACUGCGCCAGUGAAUGCAUUUGAAACGGCACCUCUACUCUCCCAUCGCCAGGCCCAAAGACGUGUUGUUCAUAGGUGUCGUUCACACUACUAGUGUUGCUGAUCGCGGAGGACCACUGUCCACUGCUCGUCCGCCGUGGCGUUACUUCUGAUGAGGCUCAGAGCGCAUGUUUACUGUGAACAACCUGCUGAAAUAUAUAAUGAGUAAAUUUG
Long non-coding RNA from Amphibalanus amphitrite, 613 nucleotides. RefSeq lists it as uncharacterized. NCBI's taxonomy places the organism in Eukaryota, Metazoa, Arthropoda, Thecostraca, Balanomorpha, Balanidae. The transcript is spliced from 2 exons. The record is from RefSeq and is a predicted model, not a curated record.